GAGCAAAGGCGUCGAGUUAAAAAAAUGGCGUGAUUUGCAUUGAAGGUUGGCGAUAUCAUUAAGCGAUUCUCCGUGCCCAUCAAAUUUCAAUUUUUCGUUUUGAUCGUGGCCUCGAACAAGUCGCUACAUU
This is a small nucleolar RNA of Gossypium raimondii (Peruvian cotton), 130 nucleotides long. The record is from Rfam. NCBI's taxonomy places the organism in Eukaryota, Viridiplantae, Streptophyta, Magnoliopsida, Malvales, Malvaceae.